AGGUCAUUUCAAAGAAGGCUUAUGUGGCUAUGAAAUCAGAAUCUUUUAAUGCUGUGAACAAGGUUUAAUUUCUCCAUAAUAGUCACUCAAUGGUGCUGUUUUCCUGAGGAGAUACAAGA
Molecule: small nucleolar RNA, 119 nt
Organism: Fukomys damarensis (Damara mole-rat)
Lineage: Eukaryota; Metazoa; Chordata; Mammalia; Rodentia; Bathyergidae
Source: Ensembl